UACGGAGGGUGCAAGCGUUAUCCGGAUUUACUGGGUUUAAAGGGUGCGUAGGUGGGUCUGUAAGUCAGUGGUGAAAUCUCCGAGCUUAACUCGGAAACUGCCAUCGAUACUAUAGGUCUUGAAUUAUCUGGAGGUGAGCGGAAUAUGUCAUGUAGCGGUGAAAUGCUUGGAUAUGACAUAGAACACCAAUUGCGAAGGCAGCUCACUACGGAUAUAUUGACACUGAGGCACGAAAGCGUGGGGAUCAAACAGG
Molecule: ribosomal RNA, 253 nt
Filed under: uncultured bacterium
Lineage: Bacteria
Description: partial 16S ribosomal RNA
Rfam family: Bacterial small subunit ribosomal RNA
Source: RNAcentral